GGGCAGUUAGCUCAGUUGGUAGAGCGCCGCCCUUACAAGGCGGAUGUCGGGUGUUCAAGUCACCCACUGCCCACCA
RNAcentral lists this transfer RNA (76 nucleotides) under Desulfovibrio sp. RNAcentral's name for it is "tRNA-Val". It matches the Rfam family "tRNA". Rfam says of the family: Transfer RNA (tRNA) molecules are approximately 80 nucleotides in length. The record is from RNAcentral. Lineage: Bacteria; Pseudomonadati; Thermodesulfobacteriota; Desulfovibrionia; Desulfovibrionales; Desulfovibrionaceae.